AAUGCUCAAAAAAACAGAGGAUGGCUCCCUGCCCUGUACAGGCGUCUGCUCUGGGGAUGACAGCCCGUCCCGGUGUCUGAAUGAUU
Choloepus hoffmanni (Hoffmann's two-fingered sloth) is the source of this 86-nucleotide small nucleolar RNA. Lineage: Eukaryota; Metazoa; Chordata; Mammalia; Pilosa; Megalonychidae. The record is from Ensembl.